AUGCUAAAUUACAGACUUCGCAGCCACCGGAUACCCUCGUUGCAGACUGGCAGUAGCCAUGUGGCUGCACUCGCCUUUCCAGACAACCAGUGCAUUAUUUCCACUAAUAGCCUGCCCAGAGCCUCCAGCUGGGCGACUCUUCAUCCCACCACCCACCAUCACCCGGCGUCCCCGUGGGUCAUAACGCGAUCGUGGCCCGCGUGCCCAAACCAAGCAGAAACCACCUCAAAGUUCCUGGCGACAGUGGCCCGGGAUCCCUUCCGCCGGCUCUCAGAGCCCCUGUCACGGUCGCGGAAAAUGCCCGGAGCCCCCGCCUCGGGGAAGGCGGCCGCCAAGGGGCCUCGAGCCGGGCCCGCGGCCGUGCAUUCCGCGCGGGGCGGGGCGGCGGCCGCGGCGUUCGCAUUGUCCACGUUCCCCGCGCCCCUCGGCGUUCCGUCCCUCCCUAUCUGUGGCGCACACGCGCGGAGCGAGCGGCGCGCCCGAGGCGGGCAGGCAGCAGCUGCGGCGGCGGCGGCGGCGGCGGCGGCGGGGCGGCGCGGCGGCGCGGGGCGGGGCGGGGCGAGCGGGCGGCGCGGGGCGGGCCCGGGCGAGGCGGCCGGGGCGCCAGCGAGCGGGCGGCGAGCGCGGCGAGCAGCCGAGAGGAGCGCGAGCAGCAGCAUGGCGGGGCCCCGACGCCCGCAGCCUGGCUGCUACCGCCGCACCGCCGCGGCCGUGAACCUCCAGCUGGGCGACUCUUCAUCCCACCACCCACCAUCACCCGGCGUCCCCGUGGGUCAUAACGCGAUCGUGGCCCGCGUGCCCAAACCAAGCAGAAACCACCUCAAAGUUCCUGGCGACAGUGGCCCGGGAUCCCUUCCGCCGGCUCUCAGAGCCCCUGUCACGGUCGCGGAAAAUGCCCGGAGCCCCCGCCUCGGGGAAGGCGGCCGCCAAGGGGCCUCGAGCCGGGCCCGCGGCCGUGCAUUCCGCGCGGGGCGGGGCGGCGGCCGCGGCGUUCGCAUUGUCCACGUUCCCCGCGCCCCUCGGCGUUCCGUCCCU
This 1035-nucleotide long non-coding RNA is filed under the name Bos grunniens (domestic yak). Its description in RNAcentral is "lncRNA (ENSBGRG00000017227.1)". Lineage: Eukaryota; Metazoa; Chordata; Mammalia; Artiodactyla; Bovidae. The record is from RNAcentral.